GCGGAUGUGAUGGAACUGGUAGACAUGCAAGAUUUAGGUUCUUGUGCCACAAGGCGUGGGGGUUCAAGUCCCUUCAUCCGUACCA
Molecule: transfer RNA, 85 nt
Filed under: Rickettsia bellii str. RML Mogi
Lineage: Bacteria; Pseudomonadati; Pseudomonadota; Alphaproteobacteria; Rickettsiales; Rickettsiaceae
Description: tRNA-Leu
Rfam family: tRNA
About the family: Transfer RNA (tRNA) molecules are approximately 80 nucleotides in length. Their secondary structure includes four short double-helical elements and three loops (D, anti-codon, and T loops). Further hydrogen bonds mediate the characteristic L-shaped molecular structure. tRNAs have two regions of fundamental functional importance: the anti-codon, which is responsible for specific mRNA codon recognition, and the 3' end, to which the tRNAs corresponding amino acid is attached (by aminoacyl-tRNA synthetases). tRNAs cope with the degeneracy of the genetic code in two manners: having more than one tRNA (with a specific anti-codon) for a particular amino acid; and 'wobble' base-pairing, i.e. permitting non-standard base-pairing at the 3rd anti-codon position.
Source: RNAcentral